RNAcentral lists this ribosomal RNA (660 nucleotides) under uncultured bacterium. Its description in RNAcentral is "bacterial SSU rRNA". It matches the Rfam family "Archaeal small subunit ribosomal RNA", at positions 486 to 1145 of the family's 1478-position model. The record is from RNAcentral.
GAGUGGUAACCGUUAUUAUUGGGUCUAAAGGGUCUGUAGCCGGCCGGAUGAGUCUCUUGAGAAAUCCAGCAGCUCAACUGUUGGGCUUUCAGGAGAUACUGUUCGGCUCGAGGCCGGGAGAGGUGAGAGGUACUUCAGGGGUAGGGGUGAAAUCUUGUAAUCCUUGAAGGACCACCAGUGGCGAAGGCGUCUCACCAGAACGGACCUGGCGGCAAGGGACGAAAGCUAGGGGCACGAACCGGAUUAGAUACCCGGGUAGUCCUAGCCGUAAACGAUACUCGCUAGGUGUCGGCCACGGUACGACCGUUGUCGGUGCCGUAGGGAAGCCGUGAAGCGAGCCACCUGGGAAGUACGGCCGCAAGGCUGAAACUUAAAGGAAUUGGCGGGGGAGCACCACAACGGGUGGAGCUUGCGGUUUAAUUGGAUUCAACGCCGGAAAUCUUACCGGGACCGACAGCAAUAUGAAGGCCAGGCUGAAGACUUUGCCGGAUUAGCUGAGAGGUGGUGCAUGGCCGUCGUCAGUUCGUACUGUGAAGCAUCCUGUUAAGUCAGGCAACGAGCGAGACCCACGCCCACAGUUGCCAGCGUACUCUCCGGAGUGACGGGUACACUGUGGGGACCGCCGCUGCUAAAGCGGAGGAAGGAAUGGGCAACGGUAGG